ACUAGAGUAGCACUCGCAUAUCAAUAAGCGGAGGAAAAGAAACUAACAAGGAUUCCCCUAGUAACGGCGAGUGAAGCGGGAAGAGCUCAAAUUUGAAAUCUUAAAGGGUUUCCCUUUACGAAUUGUAGUUUAAAGAAGUGUUUUCUGUUGAGGUUUUGGUAAAAGUUCUUUGGAAUAGGACAUCAUAGAGGGUGAGAAUCCCGUAUUUGACCUUUACUUUCAACUUUGUGAUACACUUUCAAAGAGUCGGAUUGUUUGGGAAUGCAGUCCAAAAUGGGUGGUAAAUUUCAUCUAAAGCUAAAUAUUGGCGAGAGACCGAUAGCGAACAAGUACCGUGAGGGAAAGAUGAAAAGAACUUUGAAAAGAGAGUUAAACAGUACGUGAAAUUGUCAAAAGGGAAGCGUUUGACACCAGUGUUGUUUUUCUGAAAAUCAAUUAAAGAACUGUUUAUGCUAAGCUGUUUAGACUUUAUCAGCUAUCUGUUUAGUUUUGAGCUUUUCUUUAAUGCACUUUUCAGUUAACAAGUCAACAUCAAUUUCUUUUGCUGUAAAAAAGCUUGAGGAAGGUGGCUUGAGAUUCGUCUUAAGUGUUUAUAGCCUCUUGCCUAUGCAGUCGGAGAGAUUGAGGUCUGCAGCGUAGAUCCUUCGGGGCUAAAUGCAUUUGUGCUAAGUUAUAGCAUUUUAUAGACAACUUGUUGACUAUGAUUUGUCUUGUAGCUUACUCGCUUAUGUUAUUUUACCUACGCUUAGGAUGUUGAGCGCAUGUCUCUCUCU
RNAcentral lists this ribosomal RNA (773 nucleotides) under uncultured Neocallimastigales. Its description in RNAcentral is "partial large subunit ribosomal RNA". It matches the Rfam family "Eukaryotic large subunit ribosomal RNA", at positions 20 to 616 of the family's 3401-position model. The record is from RNAcentral. Lineage: Eukaryota; Fungi; Neocallimastigomycota; Neocallimastigomycetes; Neocallimastigales.